This is a long non-coding RNA of Quercus robur (English oak), 2599 nucleotides long. RefSeq lists it as uncharacterized. The record is from RefSeq and is a predicted model, not a curated record. NCBI's taxonomy places the organism in Eukaryota, Viridiplantae, Streptophyta, Magnoliopsida, Fagales, Fagaceae. The transcript is spliced from 2 exons.
UUUUUGGGGGGGGGGGGGGGGGGGGUGGGGGGGCACUGCCCCCAUGUCCAAAAAUAGCUCGGUCCCUGAUUCAUGGUAUUACGUAAAUUCAAACUUACUUUUGUUAUAGUUUCUAUGUUUAGAUGCAUGAAUUUGUAUGUCAUUUAAAUAUAAACUCUAAUGGUCUGUUUAGAUUAAGGGGGAGGGAGGGGGAGUAGAGUAGAUUUAACACAAAAUUAGCUUAUUUUUUAGCCAACUAUACUCUACUCCCCUUCACUCUCCCUCCCCUCCAUCCAAACAGGCCAUAAGGUAUAACUGAUUAGAAUCCAAUUGCAUUAUUGAUUGAGCAUCCACAAUACAAAAAAAUUGGACUUGUUUCAAUUCACCCUUUUUGAGGGUUUAACAGUUUAACCCUUUGAAAAAAAAAAAACCAAUUUCCAUGUAGUGCCACCUUAAUAUAUUAUAUAUGACUAAAAUAAAAGAUGUUUGUAGUUGGAACCCUGUCUCCUCCCUUCCUCACCAUCAACCUAUCUAAAAAAAAAGUUUCAUAAAAAAAAAACCUAUCUAAAAAAUUUAAGAUAAUUUUUAAGCUAUAUUACAAAUUGCACCCUCUAAUUUGUCUAAAUUCUAAAGUUCAAUUCAGUCCUGUUUUAGGAUUAUUCAAUUCAUUCCUCCCAUUAUUGCGGGUAUAAUUUAAAAAUGUUCUAUUUUUAUUAAAAAUAGUAAAGUCUCUCACCAAGCACAUGUAAAGAGACUAGUUGUUUAUUAUUAUCAAAUUAAUAAAUAUUUUUUUAAUUUCUUUCUAACAAUAAUAAUUUUUAUUUGAACAUGUUAUGCACAUCAUUUCCCACAUGUAUCUUAUAUCUAUAUGUUCAAACUCUACAACGGGGUUUAGGUUCAAUCACACUAGGAGGACUGUAAAUAUAGGAAUGUCAAUUGGUCAAUAUUUUACAUGAUUUGAAUCAUUUGAUAGGUGAUACUAAUAUAGGGGCAAUCUCGAGUCAAGUUGUGUAUAAAAAUUCAAACUCUUAGCAUUCUUUUUCAAAAAUUCCUAAUUUCUCUCAAGUCUUACCGAUGCUUAGGUCUCCUCCAAAUUUCAAUUCCAUUUCUAUGAGCCAUCAAAAUUCAGAACAAGUCAAUCUUAUUGUUGAUCUCAUACGAUACCCUCCUCAAAUUAAUUAUCCUAGGCAAUCCACAUUACCUCCCCAACCUUAUUGGUUGUCUACCUUCUUAAUGGCCCAAGGUUUUUUGCUACCAAAUACAUGAUACUUCGCUUUUCACAUGCUGUCAUUGUGAUAUUUGAACGGUUGAACAUAUGUUCUUGUGUAUGUGGAUGAUAUUAUUGUCAAUAGCAAUUAGUUGUAGAACUAACGGAUCUCGGUUCCAUUCAUUACGUUCUUGGCAUUGAGGCUACUUUCAAUUAAAUUUGAUAUCAGCUAAACUUCAUCUCUCUCAAUGGUGAUAUAUUUCUGACUUGCUUAGUUGCUAGAAAAAUCUGGUAUGGAAAAAUUUACCAAGUUAUGCUUAUUCCCUACACAUGAACUUCCACAAAACUUUCCAAAACUUAAUGGGAAGUCUCUUGAUGAUGCAUCAUUCUAUUGUCAAAAUUGUAGGGGCACUAUGGUGUGAUAAUGUGGGGUUAUUUGAACUUGAUGGUGCUUGCAUAUUAAAUAAUGCUAGGAUUUUAAAUUUUGUGCAACAAUUCGAGGGAAGUGCUAGCAAGAUUUGCCUUUAUACCCUAAAUAGACUAGUCAAGGUACAAUUGGGAGACUUCAUAAAUAUUUAUAAACCCAAGCUCCACCUAAUAAAAAUCUAAUAUAAGACUCAGCACAUGCCCAUGUAUUCAACACACUUAAAUAAUCCAAUCCAAUUAAAUUCACAAUUUAGGGUAUCACAUUAUGAAUAUUUGAUUUAUUAUGUCGUUGUACAGAUCAAGAAUGCAUUAACUUAUCAUGCAAUUACAUGUAUAAAUACAAUAGCUUUCACUAUGAGAUUACUCCAAAAUUGUUUUUUAUUCCAAAUCACAUAGGGAUAACAUUAGCUCUUUCAUUGUACACGUCCUAUGACACACAGUAAAAAUAUUCAAUCUUUAUUUGGGACAACAAACAAAUGUAAUAUAUAAUUUAAAAAAGAAAAGUUAAAGCCAAAAAGGAAUUAUGGAAAUCAAAUGGAAGAGAGGGAGAAACUAUGAGUGCAUCCCAUCUAGUACUUGUUGACAUAACAUUCUGGAGGAAACCCUUGAGGAAAGCGCUUUGAAUCUGUACAGUAAUUGUAGAUCAUGUAAUUGUCCUGAACCCAUUUCAGCUUCCCCUGGUCACUGUAAUCAAGCGUCUGCCAGAGCCAACCAUUGUUGUUGAGGUUAGAAUUUGGAGUAUUGCAAGAAGUUAUGGUACCAUAAUAUGAAACACAAGCAUUCUUGUCAUUGAAAUUCGUAUAGGAUGCAGUGAAGGGUGCUUGGGUCCAAUCUAUCUUGACAAGUCCACCUCUUGUUGCCCAGUUAUCAGCAUCCCAAAUACUAGAGUAUAGUUUCAUUGGCUGGUAACUUGGGAAAGGAAUACCACUUGACUCAAGGUUCUUGAACUCUCUAAUGGGGAUGCCAUCUACAUAGAAGCUAAAAUAU